AGUGAACGCUGGCGGUAGGCCUAACACAUGCAAGUCGAACGGCAGCACAGUAAGAGCUUGCUCUUACGGGUGGCGAGUGGCGGACGGGUGAGGAAUACAUCGGAAUCUACUUUUUCGUGGGGGAUAACGUAGGGAAACUUACGCUAAUACCGCAUACGUCCUACGGGUGAAAGCAGGGGAGCUUCGGACCUUGCGCGAUUGAAUGAGCCGAUGUCGGAUUAGCUAGUUGGCGGGGUAAAGGCCCACCAAGGCGACGAUCCGUAGCUGGUCUGAGAGGAUGAUCAGCCACACUGGAACUGAGACACGGUCCAGACUCCUACGGGAGGCAGCAGUGGGGAAUAUUGGACAAUGGGCGCAAGCCUGAUCCAGCCAUACCGCGUGGGUGAAGAAGGCCUUCGGGUUGUAAAGCCCUUUUGUUGGGAAAGAAAAGCAGCAGGUUAAUACCCCGCUGUUCUGACGGUACCCAAAGAAUAAGCACCGGCUAACUUCGUG
RNAcentral lists this ribosomal RNA (492 nucleotides) under uncultured bacterium. Its description in RNAcentral is "partial 16S ribosomal RNA". It matches the Rfam family "Bacterial small subunit ribosomal RNA", at positions 29 to 507 of the family's 1533-position model. The record is from RNAcentral.